This 676-nucleotide ribosomal RNA is filed under the name Triticum aestivum (bread wheat). RNAcentral describes it as "partial small subunit ribosomal RNA". The record is from RNAcentral. Lineage: Eukaryota; Viridiplantae; Streptophyta; Magnoliopsida; Poales; Poaceae.
CCGGUUCGACGAAACCUUCCGUCUUCACCUUUGAUCCCAAAUUCUUCCAUGUCCUGCUUCACCUAGUGCCGCUACCGCAGCCGCUUUUAGGAUCACGCCCGACCGAGGAGGGAGGAGCCGGCGGAGGAGCGGAGGGGCGGAGGCAGAGAAGACGCCUGGCCUAAAGGAGAAGGCAGCGAUGAGGUAUCCUAGGUCGGCGUGCAGGGCGGCGGCCGCCGCAGCCACCUGCGUGUGCUACGCCUCCACCAGCGCUCUGAUUGAAGCGAGGGGCACCUCUAGAGGAAGGGGACGCCGGAGGGGAGAGAGGCCAAGGAGUAACUGCUACCUUAACUAGGACAACGAUUACUUGGGGAACUCAAUGAAGGGUUUUCCUGAAUGGUUGGGUCGUGGUAGUUCGCCUUUGCUUGGGUACCUAAAGCACGUGCGUUUAGUUGGUGACCACCCGCAUUCCACUAACGAGCCUCUUAGCGAUUUCCUUCCGUGUUUUAAAGUACCAUUACCUUUGGGUACCGUGGAUACCCUCAAAGUGGAGUCGAAACUUACUACGAUUACACUUGCAGACCCUCGAAUGUUAUCUACAUAAGAGGAAGGCUCCGCUCCCAUCGUAGAAACCCUAGUAAAGGCAGGUAGUUUGAUACUACAACCCAAUCGCACACUCUAUGGCACCAUGAGGGAG